This 1026-nucleotide ribosomal RNA is filed under the name Vibrio scophthalmi. RNAcentral describes it as "bacterial SSU rRNA". It matches the Rfam family "Bacterial small subunit ribosomal RNA", at positions 42 to 1057 of the family's 1533-position model. The record is from RNAcentral. Lineage: Bacteria; Pseudomonadati; Pseudomonadota; Gammaproteobacteria; Vibrionales; Vibrionaceae.
GCAGGCCUAACACAUGAAGUCGAGCGGUAACAUAUAAAAAGCUUGCUUUUGAAGAUGACGAGCGGCGGACGGGUGAGUAAUGCCUGGGAAUAUGCCUUGAUGUGGGGGAUAACCAUUGGAAACGAUGGCUAAUACCGCAUAAUGCCUACGGGCCAAAGAGGGGGAUCUUCGGACCUCUCGCGUCAAGAUUAGCCCAGGUGGGAUUAGCUAGUUGGUGAGGUAAUGGCUCACCAAGGCGACGAUCCCUAGCUGGUCUGAGAGGAUGAUCAGCCACACUGGAACUGAGACACGGUCCAGACUCCUACGGGAGGCAGCAGUGGGGAAUAUUGCACAAUGGGCGCAACUGAAUGCAGCCAUGCCGCGUGUGUGAAGAAGGCCUUCGGGUUGUAAAGCACUUUCAGUCGUGAGGAAGGUUAGGUCGUUAAUAGCGUAAUUAUUUGACGUUAGCGACAGAAGAAGCACCGGCUAACUCCGUGCCAGCAGCCGCGGUAAUACGGAGGGUGCGAGCGUUAAUCGGAAUUACUGGGCGUAAACGCAUGCAGGGUGGUUUGUUAAGUCAGAUGUGAAAGCCCGGGGCUCAACCUCGGAAUUGCAUUUGAAACUGGCAGACUAGAGUACUGUAGAGGGGGGUAGAAUUUCACGUGUAGCGGUGAAAUGCGUAGAGAUCUGAAGGAAUACCGGUGGCGAAGGCGGCCCCCUGGACAGAUACUGACACUCAGAUGCGAAAGCGUGGGGAGCAAACAGGAUUAGAUACCCUGGUAGUCCACGCCGUAAACGAUGUCUACUUGGAGGUUGUUGCCUUGAGCCGUGGCUUUCGGAGCUAACGCGUUAAGUAGACCGCCUGGGGAGUACGGUCGCAAGAUUAAAACUCAAAUGAAUUGACGGGGGCCCGCACAAGCGGUGGAGCAUGUGGUUUAAUUCGAUGCAACGCGAAGAACCUUACCUACUCUUGACAUCCAGAGAAGCCAGCGGAGACGCAGGUGUGCCUUCGGGAACUCUGAGACAGGUGCUGCAUGGCUGUCGUCA